GAUGAACGCUGGCGGCGUGCCUAAUACAUGCGAGUCGAGCGAACAGAUGAGGAGCUUGCUCCUCUGACGUUAGCGGCGGACGGGUGAGUAACACGUGGAUAACCUACCUAUAAGACUGGGAUAACUUCGGGAAACCGGAGCUAAUACCGGAUAAUAUAUUGAACCGCAUGGUUCAAUAGUGAAAGACGGUUUUGCUGUCACUUAUAGAUGGAUCCGCGCCGCAUUAGCUAGUUGGUAAGGUAACGGCUUACCAAGGCAACGAUGCGUAGCCGACCUGAGAGGGUGAUCGGCCACACUGAAACUGAGACACGGUCCAGACUCCUACGGGAGGCAGCAGUAGGGAAUCUUCCGCAAUGGGCGAAAGCCUGACGGAGCAACGCCGCGUGAGUGAUGAAGGUCUUCGGAUCGUAAAACUCUGUUAUUAGGGAAGAACAAAUGUGUAAGUAACUAUGCACGUCUUGACGGUACCUAAUCAGAAAGCCACGGCUAACUACGUG
RNAcentral lists this ribosomal RNA (497 nucleotides) under uncultured bacterium. RNAcentral's name for it is "partial 16S ribosomal RNA". It matches the Rfam family "Bacterial small subunit ribosomal RNA", at positions 28 to 507 of the family's 1533-position model. The record is from RNAcentral.